Molecule: ribosomal RNA, 254 nt
Filed under: uncultured bacterium
Lineage: Bacteria
Description: partial 16S ribosomal RNA
Rfam family: Bacterial small subunit ribosomal RNA
Source: RNAcentral
UACGGGGGGGGCAAGCGUUGUUCGGAAUUACUGGGCGUAAAGCGCGCGCAGGCGGCCUUGCAAGUCAGUGGUGAAAUCCCAGAGCUUAACUCCGGAAUUGCCAUUGAAACUACGAGGCUUCGAGUACGGGAGAGGUGAGUGGAAUUCCCAGUGUAGAGGUGAAAUUCGUAGAUAUUGGGAAGAACACCGGUGGCGAAGGCGGCUCACUGGCCCGUUACUGACGCUCAGCCGCGACAGCGUGGGGAUCAAACAGG